Molecule: transfer RNA, 69 nt
Filed under: Ictidomys tridecemlineatus (thirteen-lined ground squirrel)
Lineage: Eukaryota; Metazoa; Chordata; Mammalia; Rodentia; Sciuridae
Description: Spermophilus tridecemlineatus (thirteen-lined ground squirrel) tRNA
Rfam family: tRNA
About the family: Transfer RNA (tRNA) molecules are approximately 80 nucleotides in length.
Source: Rfam by way of RNAcentral
GGGGAUGUGGCUCAAGCGGUAGCGCGCUUGCCUGGAAUGCAUGGGGCCUGGGUUCGAUCCUCAGCACCA